This 24-nucleotide small nuclear RNA is filed under the name Arabidopsis thaliana (thale cress). Its description in RNAcentral is "snRNA_19248". The record is from RNAcentral. Lineage: Eukaryota; Viridiplantae; Streptophyta; Magnoliopsida; Brassicales; Brassicaceae.
GGGCUCUCACGUAACAGUGAGUCC